UUGUUAAAAUGACCUGUGAGAUCAGACAUUUUAUGUCACAACAAUAAUAACAGUUUAGUCCUGAUGUAGACCUGGUCUGGUCCAGUUCUAGUCCUGGUUUAACUGGUCUCAGUUUGAUCUCAGUUGGUUAUAGCCACUUUAGUCCAACUUUAGUCCUGGUUUAGUUCCACUGAGUAUUUUACUAGCAAGUUUAAAGUGUGUAUGGCAGGUUUUGAUAAUUCUCUCAUUUUGACUUAAUUUGGUGGGAUAAUAGCUGUUGUAAAUAUAUGACAUAUAUAUACAUGCCAUAUAUAUUUACACAAAUCAAUAAGCAAUUCAGUUAAAAAAUAAUUUGGAAAUUACAGGAAAUCGAGAGUUCUAAAACUUAGACUAGAAUUCUGUCUUAAUUUUUGGCACAUUUUACAUGCAAGAAACAUGUUUUUUCUUUUACUUUUAAACAUGGUAAAAUGGUUUGCAAAAUCUUAAAAAUGAUCUUAACAAAGUUUUAAUAAAAUAAGUGGUCCAACCUGUCACAGGUAUUUUAAAAGAAAAUAUUUGUCCUAUUUUGCACAUUAUGACUGUACACUGCAAAAAACUCUUUCUUUAAACAGUAAACAACAAAGAAUACAAGGAAGCUCUGACAACAACAAACACAACAGCAAAUACUACUAGUACUACAACAACUACUACGGCUUCUACUACAACUACUAAAAGUACUACUGCAAGCCCAGUUCCAUGUACAUACCAGUGUGACAGUGGCUGGGAGCUGAAUGGACCAAAGUGUUAUUAUUUCUCCACAAAUAAAUUAUCAUGGACCCAGAGCGAGGAGAAAUGUGUAACUCUGGAUGGACACAUGGUGAAGAUAAACAGCAGAAAAGAGCAGGCCGGUCUGAACAGGGUCACAGGUGCUCAACAUCAUUUGGAACAUUUCUCAUCAGUUCAGUUCUCAGACUCUUUGUCAGAACACUGGACACAGGUCUCAUUCACAAACACACAUCAUCAGUGAAUUCACCUUGUUUUUUCAACACUCUCACAUAUUAAAGGACUUUGGCCCAAACUCUGUCACUUUUAAUAUAGAAACUCAACUAGAACAGCAAAUCAAAAUGAGUGAGCACCAAAAAUCUAACAAAGUAUUUCACAUGAGUCAAACAGGGAGAAGGCUCUCAGCAGUGAGUACAUGUGUACAACACACACACUUUCAGAUACAUGCAGGACUUGUUUGAUUUUCAAGAACAUUCCGCAUUACAGUACAAAAGUAAUAUUGAUGUAUUUGCUAUUCCAACUACACAAAACCAGUGUUUCUGUGUGGCGACUGAGAGAAGAACUAAAACCUCUGAGCUGCGCUGUCACACCACAGACAUGAGGAGAUUCUGAUGAGAGUUUAAUCUGUGAUUGCAAAGACUGCUGCAGGAUCUGGCUGUGGACCACAGGAUUCAAAGUUAAGAAAGCACAUCGCAUCAGCUGUUUCUCGUCUUGAGUAAAACAACUCGCUUUGAGACUCUUAAAUGUUCUAAAUAUCAGAGCAUUGCACUUCCAGUUUAGUUACAAGUUGAAACUGUGUUAUUAUUAUUUAUGAAAUGUGGUGCAAAAUUUCAGAUAAUUGCAGCCUAAAUCAGACACAACAUCCUGUAGUGUACAUUUAUUUUUAAGUUAAAUAUAUUUUAUUUACAAAUACAAUACAGCUUUUCAUCAAAUUAAUUUGUGUAAAGUGUGAACUCCAGUGUCACAUACAAGUUUUGUUUUGGAUAGCUCGAAUUCUCUUUAGGAUUUCGUGUGAGCUGUUUUGCAAAUGUACAUUUUCUAUAGACAAAU
Boleophthalmus pectinirostris (great blue-spotted mudskipper) is the source of this 1791-nucleotide long non-coding RNA. RefSeq lists it as uncharacterized. The transcript has 3 exons. NCBI's taxonomy places the organism in Eukaryota, Metazoa, Chordata, Actinopteri, Gobiiformes, Gobiidae. The record is from RefSeq and is a predicted model, not a curated record.